RNAcentral lists this non-coding RNA (80 nucleotides) under Caulobacter segnis. RNAcentral describes it as "ZTP sequence". It matches the Rfam family "ZMP/ZTP riboswitch aptamer (pfl RNA motif)". Rfam says of the family: Previously known as pfl RNA. ZMP is also known as AICAR. Lineage: Bacteria; Pseudomonadati; Pseudomonadota; Alphaproteobacteria; Caulobacterales; Caulobacteraceae. The record is from RNAcentral.
CCGCGUUCGAGUGACUGGCGUUGAAGGUGGGAAACCACCGGGGAGCUCGAUCGCAUAAGCCGCGCGCCUGGGCUCCCAUU